ACACGACUACAUUAGAUACCCGUGUAGUCCUAGCCGUAAACGAUACUCGCUAGGUGUCGGCCACGGUGCGACCGUUGUCGGUGCCGUAGGGAAGCCGUGAAGCGAGCCACCUGGGAAGUACGGCCGCAAGGCUGAAAAACUUAAAGGAAUUGGCGGGGGAGCACAACAACGGGUGGAGCUUGCGGUUUAAUUGGAUUCAACGCCGGAAAUCUUACCGGGACCGACAGCAACAUGAAGGCCAAGCUGAAGACUUUGCCGGAUUAGCUG
This 267-nucleotide ribosomal RNA is filed under the name uncultured archaeon. Its description in RNAcentral is "partial 16S ribosomal RNA". It matches the Rfam family "Archaeal small subunit ribosomal RNA", at positions 719 to 982 of the family's 1478-position model. The record is from RNAcentral.